This 132-nucleotide ribosomal RNA is filed under the name Chinchilla lanigera (long-tailed chinchilla). The record is from RNAcentral. Lineage: Eukaryota; Metazoa; Chordata; Mammalia; Rodentia; Chinchillidae.
GUCUGUGGCCAUACCACCCUGAACGCACAUGAUCUCGUCCGAUCUUGGAAACUAAGCAGGGUCGGGCCUAGUUAGUACUUGGAUGGAAGACAGUGCCUUAAAAAUCAGCAAAUAAUCUGGAAGUCAUUAAUA